CCUACGGGAGGCAGCAGUGAGGAAUAUUGGUCAAUGGCCGGAACGCUGAACCAGCCAUGCCGCGUGAAGGUCAGUGCCCUUUGGGCGUUAAACUUCUUUUGUGCGGGAGCAAUAAUGGUCACGUGUGGCCAUACGAGAGUACCGUCCGAAUACGCAUCGGCUAACUCCGUUCCAGCAGCCGCGGUAAUACGGGGGAGGCAAGCGUUAUCCGGCUUUUUUGGGUUUAAAGGGUGCGUAGGCUGGGUGCUAAGUCAGCGUGGUAAUGCCCCCGCUCAACGGGGUGAAGUGCCAUUGAUACUGCCUUGCUGGAAUGCGGAUGCGGUAGGAGGAAUGGGUGGUGUAGGGGUGAAAUGCAUAGAGAUCA
This 364-nucleotide ribosomal RNA is filed under the name uncultured bacterium. RNAcentral describes it as "partial 16S ribosomal RNA". It matches the Rfam family "Bacterial small subunit ribosomal RNA", at positions 338 to 699 of the family's 1533-position model. The record is from RNAcentral.